UCGGGAUUCGUGUAUUUUCUUUAAUUUUCGGUUUCAAAGGGGAAAAGGCCACAUUUUAGUGUUUUUUUAAAUUGCUAGGAUGGGAAAAACUUGUGUCGUUUGUGCCGCAUCAUGAUAAAAAGGUGAUUCAAGCCGAUCUUUUCACAAGAUUUCUGAUGCACUGGUUAAAAACACAGCAGCGGAUAAUUCAGUUAAUUUACCAAGUGAUUUAUCCUUCAAAGCUGCAGGGGCAGCUUUCCUGAAGAGUGCAAAAACUUCUUUAGCUUCCAAAAUGGUAUAUAGUACAAACAGUGAAGCUAAUAUAGAUAAAUCUGAUCAUUCAUCAUCAACAAUAACUGCAUCUGAGAUUAAUAGUUCUACAGUAAUCGUGGGGUCUAGGUCAACAAUUACUAUUUCUUAUCCAAGCCGUUUUUGUUUAACUGGUACACAUUCCCUGACUCUGCCAAGGAAAAGAUAAAAAUACACUAUUUUAUUUGACUAUAGUAAUACACUAUUUUAUUUUAUUAUACAUAUUUUAUUUGACUUGUAAAAGUACUUGUUUGUAUAUUACUACUAAUAAACUAUCUAAUCUAUUGUA
Long non-coding RNA from Anthonomus grandis grandis, 577 nucleotides. RefSeq lists it as uncharacterized. The transcript has 3 exons. NCBI's taxonomy places the organism in Eukaryota, Metazoa, Arthropoda, Insecta, Coleoptera, Curculionidae. The record is from RefSeq and is a predicted model, not a curated record.